AUGUAUACUAACAAGAGCGAACUAGACAGAAACCAACUGAUCUCUCCUGAAACUCUUUAGAAACAUCAGCAUCUGCUUCAUUAAGUGGGAUCUACCGAUGAAGUCACUCCAUUUACUUAUCAUGUCUCUUACAGUCAAGAAUUAUAGACAACAAGUAUUACAGAGGUGGUAUGUGGUACAAGAGUAUCAAGUCUUCAAGUCUUUUCAGAAGACAAAGGGAGUAGCUGCAUCUGGUCAAUUUAUUCACAUGAAGGCCUAUGAAUGGAAUUUCCAGAACUGUCCUUCUGCCACAUCAAGAAUGAAUUAUUUAUAUACCUACUGAAACAACUGAGGAGAAACCUACAAAAAUAAAUUUGGACUUAUGUUGCAUACCUUAUAUCAAGAUAAGUUCCCAAUGAUUUAAUUAUUUAAAAUAAAAUUUAUCAAGG
RNAcentral lists this long non-coding RNA (428 nucleotides) under Equus caballus (horse). RNAcentral's name for it is "lncRNA (ENSECAG00000054072.1)". Lineage: Eukaryota; Metazoa; Chordata; Mammalia; Perissodactyla; Equidae. The record is from RNAcentral.